GUCUCUGUGGCACAGUGGUAGAGCAUCGGAGUACAGAAUCCGAAGGUCUGAGGUUCGAUUCCUCAUGGGGACU
Molecule: transfer RNA, 73 nt
Filed under: Stylophora pistillata
Lineage: Eukaryota; Metazoa; Cnidaria; Anthozoa; Scleractinia; Pocilloporidae
Description: tRNA-Cys
Rfam family: tRNA
About the family: Transfer RNA (tRNA) molecules are approximately 80 nucleotides in length. Their secondary structure includes four short double-helical elements and three loops (D, anti-codon, and T loops). Further hydrogen bonds mediate the characteristic L-shaped molecular structure. tRNAs have two regions of fundamental functional importance: the anti-codon, which is responsible for specific mRNA codon recognition, and the 3' end, to which the tRNAs corresponding amino acid is attached (by aminoacyl-tRNA synthetases). tRNAs cope with the degeneracy of the genetic code in two manners: having more than one tRNA (with a specific anti-codon) for a particular amino acid; and 'wobble' base-pairing, i.e. permitting non-standard base-pairing at the 3rd anti-codon position.
Source: Rfam by way of RNAcentral